This 226-nucleotide unclassified non-coding RNA is filed under the name Hevea brasiliensis (rubber tree). Lineage: Eukaryota; Viridiplantae; Streptophyta; Magnoliopsida; Malpighiales; Euphorbiaceae. The record is from RNAcentral.
CAAGAUCGGCGAGCUCGUCGCGACCUUCGUCGUCGCCGAGUUCCUUCUGGAUCGCCUUCAUCUGCUCGUUGAGGUAGUACUCGCGCUGGGUCUUCUCCAUCUGGCGCUUGACGCGCGAGCGGAUCUUCUUCUCGACCUGCAGCACCGAGAUCUCGCUCUCCAUCAGGCCCAUCACCUUCUCAAGGCGCUGGGAGACGGACAACGUUUCCAGGAUGGUCUGGCGGGC